Molecule: long non-coding RNA, 3798 nt
Organism: Homo sapiens (human)
Lineage: Eukaryota; Metazoa; Chordata; Mammalia; Primates; Hominidae
Gene: CSRP3-AS1
Product: CSRP3 and E2F8 antisense RNA 1
Exons: 7
Source: RefSeq, marked validated
GCGCGGGAGCUCAGCUCCUCCCUCACGGCCCCCGGCGAAGCGGGAGGCGGGAAACGGCCGCCGCCGCCGCCGCCGCCACCCUCCCGAGCCCUCUCCCGGUGCCGUGUCGCCCGGGCGCCGCGCCCCUCUGCGUCCCGCUGACCUGUCAGUCCACCUCACGGCGGGAGCCGGCGGGGGCUGAGCCGGGACUCGUCAGCACCGCUGCCCCUCUCAGGCCCGGGAGCCCGCGUACCUGGCAGUCAGUCUUUCCGCAGCGCCGAGGAGAAAUGGCUUGAGAAAGACAUGUUGAAGAGGAAAAAUACGUUAAGGCUUGCCAAUCAGCUGACUGCAGCAGCAGCAGCAGCAGCAGCAGCAGCAGUGAUGCACAGAUCUGAUCUGCGUUGGCAAUAUACUUGUAAUUCGGACAUGCAUCUCCAGGACACCAGCCUUAGCAGGAAGGGGAGCCAAUCAAGGGGAAACAAUUAUGCAAAUUUAAAAUGUAAACUCUCUGGAGCCCCUGCCACAACCUGAUCUCUAUAAGAAUCAUGAUGUUUCCAAGGCAGCACAUGGUUUGGGGAAAUUGGAGAGAAUACUCCCGAUGGAAAGGGAUAACAUCACAGCUGCCACAACAAUGCUAUCCAGUGAGCAAAUGUCGGAUGUUCAGAGGGACCAAGUCAUCUUGAUUAGAAUCGUGGAGGGCAGCAUCUGAUGGUAGCUGGCUUGUGGUUUACCUGGCCUUUGGUUAGAUAACUGUGCCUGAUCCCUAUGGCCAGGAAGGAAGGUAGGGUCAUGUACUACAAAUUUUGACCUUGUACAUGAGGAAUAUAAAGACAAAUUAGCCACUGCCAGAAUGACUAAAAUUAAAAAGACUGACAAGGAUGGUGAGGAUUUGACACAUUGCUCCAAAUUUCAGACAGUGCUAAUGAAAAUGAAGAUCUGUACAACAAAAGUACAGGCCUACCUCAGAGAUAUUGGAGUGUUCAGUUCCAGACCACGCAAUAAAGUGAAUAUCACAAUGAAGAGCUGAAGAAUUCACAUUUGGGCUGAUGGGCCUGGGGUAGGGAUGACCAACAGACCACAUGCUUCUUGUCUCUUCUACUCCCUGAUCCUCUGAUAGACAGGGCUAAGUGAUCAUCCACUCCUUCCACCCUCCAGCCUCCGAGUGGGCCACUUUUCAAGCAUGGAAUUCCAGGUUCUGCACCCUCGGAUUCAACCAACCAAGGAUUGAAACUAUUUGAAGGAAAAGAACAAUAAUAAUACAAAUAAAAGCCAAUAACAAUAUAACAACUAUUUAUGUAGCAUUUACAUUGUAUUAGAUAUUAUAAAUAAUCUAGAGAUGAUUUAACGCACAUGAGAGCAUAUGCAUAGGUUAUAUGCAAAUAGUAUGUCAUUUUAUAUAAGGGAGUUGAGCAUCCACAGAUUUGGGUUUCUGCAGGGAGCCCUGGAAUCCUGUGGAUACCGAGGGACGAUUGUACAUUUUGAGAACCGAAGCCCGGUGCUACCCUGUUGCAGCGAUGAAGUAUCCAGGUCACCUGGAGAAAGCUGACAUAAGAGCAGGCACACAGCAGGAAGCUUUGAUCCUCAUCUUCUCUCUGGCUGCAGCCCUCAGCUCUUGUGCACCAACUCUGACCAAUGACUAGGACUGGCUGCUCGGAGUACAGCUGUAUUGAGAAAGAUUCUGAGGCUGGGUCUGCAUUCAGCAGGAAAAAAAAUGAAGUAAUUGUUUGGUAAUGCCUGACAUAGGCCUAAGAAUGGGGGAAACGGUAACCCUCCUGCCAGGUUUUGUAGAAUUUUCUCUAAUUCAUUUUCUUUAGAGAUACGGUAAGGACCCGCCCCCACCCAAAUGGGUAAAAGGCAAAGCCUGGUUUCCAUUUUUUUGUAAAGCCUCAGAUCACAGGGGCACCUGAGCCAUUAGUGUCCCAAUGGCAGGGCAAGGCAGGCAUGUCUAUAAAUCUCCAGUUUUUUGUUUGCUUAUUUUCUUCUUUAAACUGCUUACAAUUUCUCCUCUUUCAUCCUCAUUUCCACAGGAGGUGUAACACUAUGGACGAGUGGGCAACUGGCUCUUCAGGCUUGGAACCAAGAGGGGGCAGCAGAGAGCAGAGAAGAAUUGGUUGGCUUGGGCUGACCCAGACCUAGGAAAACUUCCAAUCUUCUUCUUCUUCCCUCAAAACCGAAUCCUUGUGGACUCACUCUUGAGACUAUUGUCCACACAAGUGGUGUGGUCCAAGGCCACAGCAAGAAAGGUCUGAGGGAGUUCUUUGGGGUUCAGGUGGAGAAAAGCCUGUGCUGGAUGCCAGGCUGCUCUGAGAACAGGAAGGAAGAUAAUAAUGUUAACAGCAACAGUUACAAUUACCCAGCCCCUGUAGGGUGCCAGGCCCUCUGCCAAGGUGCUUUCUUUUCAUUCUCUCAAAGACUACUUGAGGUGGGGAAACCCCCAGUUUACAGAUGAGAAAACAGGGUCCCAGAGUGGUUAAAUACCUUGCCCAUGAUCACGUGACUAAGGGAGGGCCAAGCCACAUUUUAGACUCUUGCCUGUCCUGCCCUCUGUGUUAUGGUGCCCUUCCAGGAAGGAGGCAGAAAGGUGCACCUGGAGUUAGAAUAUCCUUGGGGAGUGUCCCGGACCCAAGGGAAGGCAAACGGUCCUUCUGGUACAGACUGCUGUCUCCUGAUGGCCACGGGUCUCCUGACAGAUUUAGCCAAUUCACUGGCUCACAGGUCCAUGCACCAUCCUCAGCAGAGCCGGGGUAAGGUAGCUGGGCUCGAACAGCCCCAGAAAAAGGCAAAAAGAAAGAUAACAGAAACUUGUAUGGAACUUUCAAGUACUCACUGUGGAAGUCAUUGAUUUAUCUGCCUACUGUGAGAGUUAUGUCACGUUGGAAGGUCACAUUAGAACGCCCCUCACCUCCUGCAGCCUCAGCUCCACCCUGGGCUCAGAGAUCAAUCCUUGCCUUAUUUAGGGAAGCACAUCCAAGCAUAUUUGAAACUUUUGGGAUGGGCUUGGGGAUACUGGCACCAGGGACAUCUUGCUGUCAGUACUGUCCUGAUUCUGAGAACUCCACUAACGCCACAUUCCUCAAUCCAAGCCUGGAUCUGGGACUCAGGCUGCUGCCUCACUAAAUGCCUUAUCUUUUGGGUCACUGCAGACCAGGGCCCUGCCUUCUUUAGCCAAUGUCUGUUUCCCUCAUCUGGCAGUAGGACAUCAGUCUACCAAAAGAGUCACAUGUUCAUAUCCCAGCUUAGGUCCAAGUUGUGAACCAACUUCAUUUCUUAAUGUAAUCACUUUUUUGGUAUUGCUUUUUUUCUCUAAAAAGUAUGUAUAUUUUCUGAUCCUACAUGUAAUAUUUUCUGGGCCAGUUGCAGUGGCACACACCUGAGCUACUCAAGGAAGCUGAGGCGGGAGGAUCCCUUGAGCCCAGGAGUUUGAGGUUACAGUGAACUAUGAUUGCGUCACUGUACUCCAGCCUAGACAGCUAGCAAGACCCCAUCUCUUAAAAAAAAUUGUUAGAAAAUACUUUAAAGCAUCAAGGAGAAAAAAAUUUCUCCUAUCUUUCUGGAUACAUUUUUCUCAACUGCGCUUAUUACUAUCUAACACCGUCCUUUACUUAGGUUUUCAUUGUUUGUCUCCUUCUCUAGAAUGGGAGCUUGACAACAUGAGGGAUUUCAUGUUUUGUUCACUGCAAGUUCCUUAAUUCCCAGAACAAUACCUGGCACAUUUACAGAAUGAAUGAAUUAAUUCAUAAUGCCAUGACAUCAGAUAUAAUUUUAUUUAAUAUUAUAGAGGGAACAUUUUUCAAUGUCAAUAAAAUUUUUUCAAAAGCA